GACGUAGGGCGCGAGCGUUGUCCGGAUUUAUUGGGCGUAAAGAGCUCGUAGGCGGCUUGUUGCGUCGACUGUGAAAACCCGCGGCUUAACCGCGGGCUUGCAGUUGAUACGGGCAGGCUAGAGUUCGGUAGGGGAGACUGGAAUUCCUGGUGUAGCGGUGAAAUGCGCAGAUAUCAGGAGGAACACCGGUGGCGAAGGCGGGUCUCUGGGCCGAUACUGACGCUGAGGUGCGAAAGCGUGGGGAGCAAACAGGAUUAGA
This 259-nucleotide ribosomal RNA is filed under the name uncultured bacterium. Its description in RNAcentral is "partial 16S ribosomal RNA". It matches the Rfam family "Bacterial small subunit ribosomal RNA", at positions 524 to 782 of the family's 1533-position model. The record is from RNAcentral.